AUUGAACGCUGGCUGCAGGCUUAACACAUGCAAGUCGAGCGGGGUGAUGGUGCUUGCACUAUCUCUUAGCGGCGGACGGGUGAGUAAUGCUUAGGGAUCUGCCUCUUAGCGUGGGACAACAUCGCGAAAGGGAUGCUAGUACCGAACACGUCUCAGGGGAGAACGCAGGGGACCACUUGUGAUGUUGCGCUAACAGAUGUGCCUUAGGCGGAGUAGCUAUUGGUGGGGGUAAAGGCCUACCAAGGCGACGAUCUGUAGCGGGUCUGAGAGUAUGAUCCGCCACGCUGGGACUGAGACACGGCCCAGACUCCUACGGGAGGCAGCAGUGGGGAAUAUUGGACAAUGGGGGGAACCCUGAUCCAGCCAUGCCGCGUGUGUGAAGAAGGCCUUAUGGUUGUAAAGCACUUUAAGCGAGGAGGAGGCUCUUUUGGUUAAUACCCAAGAUGAGUGGACGUUACUCGCAGAAUAAGCACCGGCUAACUCUGUGCCAGCCGCCGCGGUAA
Molecule: ribosomal RNA, 503 nt
Filed under: uncultured bacterium
Lineage: Bacteria
Description: partial 16S ribosomal RNA
Rfam family: Bacterial small subunit ribosomal RNA
Source: RNAcentral